Molecule: long non-coding RNA, 3554 nt
Organism: Lolium perenne
Lineage: Eukaryota; Viridiplantae; Streptophyta; Magnoliopsida; Poales; Poaceae
Source: RefSeq, a predicted model, not a curated record
CUCUCGUGCUCCAAUCAUUCAUCUCCUUCCUCCUCCUCCCAAACAGGGCGCGGCCGACGUGAGCGAGGACGGAGCGAGGGUGCCGCCGCCAUGCAUCGGGAGAGCGGCCGCGGGGCGCUGCUGCGUGGAGCGCUGGGAGGAGACGGUCACCGCCGGCCGCGGGCAUCGCCAUGUGAAGAGUAGGUGGCCAGGGGCCGCGUCAGCCGCUGCCUCGGGUCCACGCCGCCGCCGCCGCUCCUCCAUGCCAUCGCCGACCACCCCCUGCGCCGCGUCGUGUCCUCGCCGUCGUCCGACAGCGCCAUGGAGUGUGUCUCCUCCAAGUCGAGUCCCCACCGCCGGCGCCCAGGGUGACGCGGAUCCGGGGCAGGACGGGCAGGAUCUCGUCAUGCCGGUCCUCCUCCGCAUUGUAGCUGCGCUGCUCCCUCCUCCUCGUGGUCAUCUCCUCUACGCUGCCUCCGUCCCCAGCCUCCUCUACACGGCCUCAAUCCCCGGCGUUCUGCUACCUCUGCCCCACCUCCUCUCCAUGGCUUGGCAUUGAGACCCAUCAUGGACCAGCCUCCGCCCCCAUCUCUGCGUUGCUGCAGCAUGGGACGACUGCAGCGACGACAUCGACCGUCUCUUCCCCUUCCCUGGGGAUGCCUUUGUACAUGAACCAGAUCUUGAAAAGCAUAUGGAGGUCAACUGCGCUGAAAUCAAAAUCCAAAAUCACGAGGUUGGAAUGCAGCUCAAUAAGGUGAUUGCAGAUCAUGAGGUUUCAAGGACAGCUGGUUAGCAAUUCUUCAGCUUUAUUUUUAUUAUGUUAUGCAGCUCAAGAAAAGUAUUGCAGUUCAUGAGGUUGCAGGGAUAACUGGUUAGCAAUUCUUUAGCUAUAUUUGGUUAUUGACCAAGAGGACCAGUCCAAAAGAAAGAUGGAACAGGUGGCUUAUUGUUGUUCGUUCCCUUUCCCAAAAGAAUACUUUUCUUUUUAUAUAAUUUGGGGGUGUGCUGAUGUGAUAGUUAAUAAAUUGGGUUGAUGAUGAGGCUGUCAAGAACAAGCGACCGCCGCCAAAGAGGCUUUCCCUAGAGGUACUGUGACUGCAUGUGUAUUUUUCAUAGUUGAUUGGUGCAACAAAUCUGAAAGUUUGGGAGUGGUUCUGAAAUUUGGGAGACGACUUAGAUUUUCUGUUGUAUGGGUCACUCAAUUGGGCAGAAGAGAUAUUACUAGUCCCUCCGAUCCAUAAUAAUUUAUGGGGUUUUUGUUCAAAUUAGCUCAAGUUUGAACAAAACCCCCGACACUUAGUAUGUAUCGGAGGGAGUACUUUCUAUGUGGUUUUGGGAUUGGUUAUUGUGCUACAUGACACACGGUGGUCAUGUUAUAUGCUGGACAAUAUGUGCCUGCUAAAUGUUAGUUUUCAGCACCACCAGUGGCAUUUAUGUUUUCUACCAUGGAUAAUAUCUUAUGCACAUCCAGUUUAUUGGGAUGUUUUAAAGGGUAUUUCGACUCUUCUGUCCCUGUAAUUUCCACAGUAUGAUUGAGAAUGUGAGUCAACACAAUAUUUUUAGAUUUGAGUUCCAUGGUUAUUAUGGUACAGUGCUCACUGGUAUGGAAAUUUGCAAAUACAAGUAUACUAAAAAAUAUGAUAAAUAUAUGUGGUUCAGGUUCAGGUUCAUGUUUAUCUACUUUUGAAUUGGAAAGGAAAUUAGUAUAAAGUUAGGAAGAAGAAUGAUAAUACCAACUAAUGAGUUGGUAACUGGGGAUAUGUCAGAACAACCAAUAGGUUAAGGUUUAAUUAGUGAAACUAAAAUUAUGACGGGUGGACUUUGAUUUUUUUAGUUACUCUAUUUUGAAAUAGUCAUGUACUCAUUUUACAUUUCAGCUUAUUUAAGUUAUGCUUCAUUGUGCCAUUAAGGUGAGAUUGGACCAAUGUUACUGGUUCCAGGCAAGAGAUCAACAAUUUUUCAUGAGCUACUCUGUUUUGGAACACUCGUUUCACAUUUCAACUUAUUUGAAUUAUGCAUCCAUAAAAUAGAGAUGAACUAGAAAGUGCUUCUCUGUGCCAUUAAGGUUAAUGGUCCCGAGGCUGGACAUUCAACUUUUUUUGAGCCGUUGAGUCCAUGAUUUUAAUGGGUGCUAAUUCUGUUAUUUAUAUUGUCUAUGGAUAUGAGAAACUUAAUGUUUCGUACAGUUCUAUCACUUGCAAACAGAGAACCAGUAACAUGUGUUGUCUAUAAUUUGUUUCGCUUUGCCUCAACCUGUAUAUGUUCGUAAGCAUCCAUGGUGGUACUUCUUACUCUUCCUAAGGUUAUUUUGGUUAUAAGUAAAUGAAAUAUAUUAGCAAAUUAGUUCCUCAAAAAAUAUGUUAUAGCAAACUAUCGACCUUAUAUCUGCAUUAUGCAUCUAUGAUUUGUAUAUCUGUUAAUUUGUGCUCGAAGGAGACUGGGAGGUGUUUCACUAUUAUGAAAUCUUUUAGCAUCGUGUUUGUUUAUUGAACUAUCUGCAUGCCUGAAUGUUUCGGUACCUAUUUCAGCAUGCCGGUGCAUUUUAAACCUGUUGGUGCUUUCUCACAACCAGAUGUGAUAGAUUUUGUACAACUAUUCAUUAGAUUGGUUUUCCAUAUUUCAGCUGAAGAAGUACUUCAAUGACACCGAAGAUUUAAUGGACAUUCAGAUGUGGACGCAGGAGUAUUCUGGAUGAAUUUCAAGACUGACGUGUUCAGCAUCUAAAAUGCGUUCCAAUGGGUCCUGAUAAUUACCGGGGUGAUUGGCGCAUUCAUCUUCUACUUCUUCAAGUACAAGAGGCUGAUGCCCCUGAAGAGUAUAAGCUCUUAGUAGGACGGAUUCAACCUUCUAUUUGCCCGUUAAGCUUGCAGUUCACUAUCCGGGCCAAAAGGAAGUAGCAAUUCAUUGGCUUAGUCCUUCUCAUGAGGCAGUACUUGGAAGUAUUCUGGCAGCUGUGAAUCGAGUGCAAGGUCUUCCUUAGGUUGUUCUCUGUAGGGCCUUAUCUUCAUCUAUGGUUCCUAUUACGAGCUUAACUCGCUGGCACCAGCUGAAGAGCUUAUCCGUCCAAGAGUACAGGAGUGGAUGCGUUUUGGGAUCAUCCUGGUUGUGUAUUCUGAUCGGUUGAAUAUGGUCUAUAUGCAAUUAAAAAGUCUGUACUGCUUACCAGGACGUGGUAUGGAUGGAUGAAGGCAUAGAACAGGCGCAUCCCAGCCUUCUCUUACCCAAAUCUGUGAGGCAAGCAUCCUUCCAUCGUUUUAUGGAUUGAAGAAGGCGCACAAUGAGAUCGGUCCACCCUUCUCUUACCCGGAUCAGCCAAGGGAGCAUCCUUCCAUGACAACGGCCAAAUCAUGUACCGAUGUACGGAGUCAGUUUGCUCUUCCUCCACUUGUGUUUUCAAUCUUUGUGUACACUAAUGGAACUGGUUCAUGUGCAAUAUUAAUUAUCAGCCGCUGAUUUUCUAUUUGAUAGACUUGAUAUUGUAUAUAUUGCUAAUCAGUGCUAUGUAUGCAUGUGCUUCACAAUUUUUAGACAAUAUUGUAAAUUUUCAAAUAAAGUGACAAAGGAUGGAAUCGAGG